RNAcentral lists this unclassified non-coding RNA (225 nucleotides) under plant metagenome. Its description in RNAcentral is "partial contains small subunit ribosomal RNA, internal transcribed spacer 1, and 5.8S ribosomal RNA". The record is from RNAcentral.
GCUCCGUUGGUGAACCAGCGGAGGGAUCAUUACAGGACUCGCAAGACUCCUACAACCCUGUGAACUUAACUAUAAGCACGUUGCUUCGGCGGGUGUCUCGGAGGGGGUUCUCCCUCCCCGAGACGCUAAACCCGCCGGCAGCCUACUAUACUCUGUCUCUUUGCGUAGGCAUCUCGAGUACAAUCAAACAAGUUAAAACUUUCAACAACGGAUCUCUUGGUUCUG